Molecule: long non-coding RNA, 861 nt
Organism: Apis cerana (Asiatic honeybee)
Lineage: Eukaryota; Metazoa; Arthropoda; Insecta; Hymenoptera; Apidae
Source: RefSeq, a predicted model, not a curated record
AGCGAUUUCUUGUCGUUCAUCAAUGGUAGACCAUUGAAAGCGAUCACCAUCUCGUGGACUGGAACGUUGCUUUCAAUCUCACACAGAGCCUUGAAACUCUCCAGCUCCAUAUCCUCGAUGACGUCCAGCACGAAAAUGUCGUCGCUGAGUGUGGUUACCGUUACCUUCAUCGUGUUUACUAAUUGUUCCGUGUGGAUUUAAUAAUCGAAUAAUAAUAAGAGAAAGAAUAGGCAAUAAUAACAGUUACUUAGUGACAAUAAAUUUUACACAAGAAUUUUUGCCGCUCCCCUCGCGCACGGGAUGGCCGUACGAAGAGCGGCUACGGGAUGUAAACAACAACCCAGCUCAGCGAAAAUACUGACUAGCCUCAAGGCUCGACCUGAAGGCCAUUUAAGUCACCUCGAGACAUCGAAACAGAUCGAGAUAAAUAUUGCACGAUUCUAAAAAUUCGUCGUAUUUUGGAACAUUUUGCGAUAUUCAAUCGAUAUUGUGGUCAGAAAGAAGUAGGGGGUAAAGGUGGUGUACCCAAGCAUGAAACGUUCAGGGGAUCGUGCCCUCCUAGAGGGUACAGCCACGAGGACACCGCAGGGGAUGCCAUCCCUUAUAAACCGGAAACGGAUGUAGAAGUGGAUAUUAGACAGGUGGUUCAAAAUUUCGCGUUGGACAAGGCUGAUGGUUAAAUUAGCGCAUGAUUUCGACAGCUCGCUUGAUUACACUCAUAAAACCGGAUAUUCCAGGGUAAAUAUUGUAUAGCAUUAUUUCACGCUGGAAAAUAGUAUUUUAUAUACAUUGUAGAAUUUCAUAAAUUAAUAAACAGUACUUGAAAAAUAUAUAUAAUAAAAGUAUCAAAAUGAAAACUAA